RNAcentral lists this non-coding RNA (30 nucleotides) under Rattus norvegicus (Norway rat). The record is from RNAcentral. Lineage: Eukaryota; Metazoa; Chordata; Mammalia; Rodentia; Muridae.
UCAGAGGACAGAAAAACCAGCCAUGAAGAU